UAGGGAAUCUUCCACAAUGGACGAAAGUCUGAUGGAGCAACGCCGCGUGAGUGAAGAAGGGUUUCGGCUCGUAAAACUCUGUUGUUAAAGAAGAACGUGGGUAAGAGUAACUGUUUACCCAGUGACAGUAUUUAACCAGAAAGCCACGGCUAACUACGUGUCAG
Molecule: ribosomal RNA, 164 nt
Filed under: uncultured bacterium
Lineage: Bacteria
Description: partial 16S ribosomal RNA
Rfam family: Bacterial small subunit ribosomal RNA
Source: RNAcentral